CUGGCUCUUCGGAGCAUGUGCACGCUUGUCUUGACUUUAUUCAUCCACCUGUGCACUUUUUGUAGUCUUGAAGGUUGAGAGCGGUCAACUAUCGGAUGGCUGUUAUGGCCUUUCCGGAUGUGAGGAAUUGCUGAGUGCAAAAGCAUACAGCUCUUCUCAAAACGACUUGCAAUACCUCUCCUUCAAGUACUAUGUAUUCAUAUACCACAUAGUAUGUUGUAGAAUGUGAUCAAUGGGCUUAUAUGCCUAUAAUAAUCAUAUACAACUUUCAGCAACGGAUCUCUUGGCUCUCGCAUCGAUGAAGAACGCAGCGAAAUGCGAUAAGUAAUGUGAAUUGCAGAAUUCAGUGAAUCAUCGAAUCUUUGAACGCACCUUGCGCUCCUUGGUAUUCCGAGGAGCAUGCCUGUUUGAGUGUCAUUAAAUUCUCAACCCCUCUAGCUUUUGCGAGCUGCGAUGGGGCUUGGAUGUUGGGUUUGCGGGCCUUUAUUAAUAGAGGUCGGCUCUCCUGAAAUGCAUUAGCGGAACCGUUUGCAGUCCCGUCACUAGUGUGAUAAUUAUCUACACUGUGAUGAUUGCUCUCUGACUAGUUCAGCUGCUAAUCGUCCAUUGUCGGACAAUAUUUAAUGAACUUCUUGACCUCAAAUCAGGUAGGACUACCCGCUGAACUUAAGCAUAUCAAUAA
RNAcentral lists this ribosomal RNA (682 nucleotides) under uncultured Bovista. Its description in RNAcentral is "eukaryotic LSU rRNA". The stretch from base 264 to 417 matches the Rfam family "5.8S ribosomal RNA". The record is from RNAcentral. Lineage: Eukaryota; Fungi; Basidiomycota; Agaricomycetes; Agaricales; Lycoperdaceae.